AGUGGCGGACGGGUGAGUAACGCGUGAGAAUCUGCCUUGGGGUCGGGGACAACCACUGGAAACGGUGGCUAAUACCGGAUAAGCCGAUUGGUGAAAGAUUUAUUGCCCGAAGAGGAGCUCGCGUCUGAUUAGCUAGUUGGUGAGGUAAGAGCUCUCAAGGCAGCGAUCAGUAGCUGGUCUGAGAGGACGAUCAGCCACACUGGGACUGAGACACGGCCCAGACUCCUACGGGAGGCAGCAGUGGGGAAUUUUCCGCAAUGGGCGAAAGCCUGACGGAGCAACACCGCGUGAGGGAGGAAGGCUCUUGGGUUGUAAACCUCUUUUCUCAGGGAAGAAGCUCUGACGGUACCUGAGGAAUCAGCCUCGGCUAACUCCGUGCCAGCAGCCGCGGUAAUACGGAGGAGGCAAGCGUUAUCCGGAAUUAUUGGGCGUAAAGCGUCCGCAGGUGGCGAUUCAAGUCUGCUGUCAAAGCACGGGGCUUAACUCCGUAAAGGCAGUGGAAACUGAAUAGCUAGAGUGCCGUAGGGGUAGAGGGAAUUCCCGGUGUAGCGGUGAAAUGCGUAGAGAUCGGGAAGAACAUCGGUGGCGAAAGCGCUCUACUGGACGGCAACUGACACUCAGGGACGAAAGCUAGGGGAGCGAAUGGGAUUAGAUACCCC
Molecule: ribosomal RNA, 659 nt
Filed under: uncultured bacterium
Lineage: Bacteria
Description: bacterial SSU rRNA
Rfam family: Bacterial small subunit ribosomal RNA
Source: RNAcentral